AGUGGGAUAGCUGGGUCAAAUGGUGGUUCCAUUCCAAGUUUUCUGAGGAAUUUUCAUACUGCUUUCCAGAGUGGUUGCACCAAUUUGCAGUCCCACCAGCAAU
This 103-nucleotide microRNA precursor is filed under the name Marmota monax (woodchuck). Lineage: Eukaryota; Metazoa; Chordata; Mammalia; Rodentia; Sciuridae. The record is from RNAcentral.